RNAcentral lists this long non-coding RNA (283 nucleotides) under Gossypium barbadense (sea-island cotton). RNAcentral's name for it is "long non-coding RNA (GBAR_LNC007383)". The record is from RNAcentral. Lineage: Eukaryota; Viridiplantae; Streptophyta; Magnoliopsida; Malvales; Malvaceae.
UGAGUGUAAUUUUCUUCCUUUCUGCCAAGGCUGCCGCUUGGGAGACAGGAUGAAGACCAUUCUUUCUUCCGAGACGAUGGACAUCCCCGAUGGGAUUAGCAUCAAAAUAAAAGCCAAGGUUAUCGAAGUUGAGGGUCCCAGGGGUAAGCUCAUCCGCGACUUCAAGCACCUCAACCUCGACUUCCAUCUCAUUAAGGACGAGGAGACCGGCAAGCGUAAGCUCAGGCUUGAGGCUUGGUUCGGCUCCAGGAAGACUAGCGCCGCCAUCCGCACCGCUCUCAGC